AGAUAGUAUUUUAAAUCUAUUUAAUUUGGCGGCAUUACAUCUUAUUAGAGGAACAUGUACUUUAAUCGAUAAUCCACGAUAAAUUUCACUUUAAAUAAAAAUUUAUAUAUCGCCAUCUAAAGAAUUAAUUUUAAAAUAUUCCUCAAAAUAAAAAAUAAAAAGUUAGGUCAAGGUGUAAUCUACAUUAAAGAUUAAUAUGUGUUACAAUAAAAUUCAAUUUAGGAUUAAAAGAAAAUAAUUUUUUAGGAAAGAGAAUUUAAAAGUAAUAAAAUAUUAAUAAUACUUUAUGAAUUAGAUUAAAAUGUGU
RNAcentral lists this ribosomal RNA (307 nucleotides) under Uliodon sp. CG182. RNAcentral describes it as "partial 12S ribosomal RNA". Lineage: Eukaryota; Metazoa; Arthropoda; Arachnida; Araneae; Zoropsidae. The record is from RNAcentral.